GACCCGUUAGCUCAGCCGGUAGAGCACUUGACUUUUAAUCAAGGUGUCCGGAGUUCGAAUCUCCGACGGGUCACCA
This 76-nucleotide transfer RNA is filed under the name Clostridium sp. RNAcentral's name for it is "tRNA-Lys". It matches the Rfam family "tRNA". From Rfam's summary of the family: Transfer RNA (tRNA) molecules are approximately 80 nucleotides in length. Their secondary structure includes four short double-helical elements and three loops (D, anti-codon, and T loops). Further hydrogen bonds mediate the characteristic L-shaped molecular structure. tRNAs have two regions of fundamental functional importance: the anti-codon, which is responsible for specific mRNA codon recognition, and the 3' end, to which the tRNAs corresponding amino acid is attached (by aminoacyl-tRNA synthetases). tRNAs cope with the degeneracy of the genetic code in two manners: having more than one tRNA (with a specific anti-codon) for a particular amino acid; and 'wobble' base-pairing, i.e. permitting non-standard base-pairing at the 3rd anti-codon position. The record is from RNAcentral. RNAcentral also lists the same sequence under 5 other names. Lineage: Bacteria; Bacillati; Bacillota; Clostridia; Eubacteriales; Clostridiaceae.